RNAcentral lists this ribosomal RNA (71 nucleotides) under Geobacillus sp. 44C. RNAcentral describes it as "partial 16S ribosomal RNA". It matches the Rfam family "Bacterial small subunit ribosomal RNA", at positions 1 to 67 of the family's 1533-position model. The record is from RNAcentral. Lineage: Bacteria; Bacillati; Bacillota; Bacilli; Caryophanales; Anoxybacillaceae.
UUUCUUUUUGGAGAGUUUGAUCCUGGCUCAGGACGAACGCUGGCGGCGUGCCUAAUACAUGCAAGUCGAGC